AACGCGAAGAACCUUACCUGGGCUCGAAAUGUACCGGAAUCCGGCAGAAACGUCGGCGUCUAGCAAUAGACCGGUAUAUAGGUGCUGCAUGGCUGUCGUCAGCUCGUGUCGUGAGAUGUUGGGUUAAGUCCCGCAACGAGCGCAACCCUUGCCGUGUGUUGGUCGCAAGAUCUCUCACGCGGGACCGCCGGUGACAAGCCGGAGGAAGGUGGGGAUGACGUCAAGUCAGCAUGGCCCUUACGUCCCGGGCUACACACGUGCUACAAUGGGAGGGACAACGAGUCGCGAACCCGCGAGGGCAAGCUAAAUCUCACAAACCCUCUCUCAGUUCGGAUUGAAGGCUGCAACUCGCCUUCAUGAAGUCGGAAUCGCUAGUAACCGUAGAUCAGCUACGCUGCGGUGAAUACGUUCCCGGGCCUUGUACACACCGAGACGAC
Molecule: ribosomal RNA, 437 nt
Filed under: uncultured bacterium
Lineage: Bacteria
Description: bacterial SSU rRNA
Rfam family: Bacterial small subunit ribosomal RNA
Source: RNAcentral